RNAcentral lists this ribosomal RNA (461 nucleotides) under uncultured bacterium. RNAcentral describes it as "bacterial SSU rRNA". It matches the Rfam family "Bacterial small subunit ribosomal RNA", at positions 29 to 534 of the family's 1533-position model. The record is from RNAcentral.
AACGAACGCUGGCGGCAGGCCUAACACAUGCAAGUCGAGCGAACCCUUCGGGGUUAGCGGCGGACGGGUUAGUAACGCGUGGGAAUAUACCCUUUGGUACGGAAUAGCCUCGGGAAACUGAGAGUAAUACCGUAUGUGCCCUUCGGGGGAAAGAUUUAUCGCCAAAGGAUUAGCCCGCGUUGGAUUAGAUAGUUGGUGGGGUAAUGGCCUACCAAGUCUACGAUCCAUAGCUGGUUUGAGAGGAUGAUCAGCAACACUGGGACUGAGACACGGCCCAGACUCCUACGGGAGGCAGCAGUGGGGAAUCUUAGACAAUGGGCGCAAGCCUGAUCUAGCCAUGCCGCGUGGACGAUGAAGGCCUUAGGGUUGUAAAGUCCUUUCAGAUGGGAAGAUAAUGACGGUACCAUCAGAAGAAGCCCCCGGCUAACUCCGUGCCAGCAGCCGCGGUAAAGUAGACGUGU